This 207-nucleotide ribosomal RNA is filed under the name uncultured bacterium. Its description in RNAcentral is "partial 16S ribosomal RNA". It matches the Rfam family "Bacterial small subunit ribosomal RNA", at positions 568 to 774 of the family's 1533-position model. The record is from RNAcentral.
CGCGUAGGCGGCCGAUUAAGUCGGGGGUGAAAGCCUGUGGCUCAACCACAGAAUUGCCUUCGAUACUGGUUGGCUUGAGACCGGAAGAGGACAGCGGAACUGCGAGUGUAGAGGUGAAAUUCGUAGAUAUUCGGAAGAACACCAGUGGCGAAGGCGACACACUGGCUCAUUACUGACGCUGAGGCUCGAAAGCGUGGGGAGCAAACA